GCUAAACGCGAAGAACCUUACCAGGGCUUGACAUCCUUGGAAUUUCUCCGAAAGGAGAGAGUACUUUAUUGGACCAAGUGACAGGUGUUGCAUGGCCGUCGUCAGCUCGUGUCGUGAGAUGUUAGGUUAAGUCCUUCAACGAGCGCAACCCUUAUGUUUAGUUGGAUUUUUCUAAACAGACUGCCUCGGCAACGGGGAGGAAGGAGGGGAUGAUGUCAGGUCAUUAUUACCCUUAUGUCUUGGGCUGCACACAUGCUACAAUGGUCGGUACAAAGGGCUGCGAGACCGCAAGGUGGAGCGAAUCCCAAAAAGCCGGCCUCAGUUCGGAUUAGGGUCUGCAACUCGACCCUAUGAAGUCGGAGUCACUAGUAAUCGCAGACCAGCAACGCUGCGGUGAAUACGUUCCCGGGUCUUGUACACACCG
This 424-nucleotide ribosomal RNA is filed under the name uncultured bacterium. Its description in RNAcentral is "bacterial SSU rRNA". It matches the Rfam family "Bacterial small subunit ribosomal RNA", at positions 954 to 1392 of the family's 1533-position model. The record is from RNAcentral.